CCCUUAGAUGUUCUGGGCCGCACGCGCGCUACACUGAUGCAUUCAACGAGUUUCUUCCUGGUCCGAGAGGAAUGGGUAACCUUUUGAAAGUGCAUCGUGAUAGGGAUAGACUAUUGCAAUUAUUGGUCUUCAACGAGGAAUUCCUAGUAGACGUAGUUCAUCAGACUGCAUCGAUUACGUCCCUGCCCUUGUACACACCGCCCGUCGCUCCUACCGAUUGAAUGCUCAGGUGAGCCAUUCGGACCUUCAUCAUGCCGGUUUCCGGUUUUGAUGAGGGAAAGUCUUGCGAACCUUAUCAUUUAGAGGAAGGAGAAGUCGUAACA
This 323-nucleotide ribosomal RNA is filed under the name uncultured eukaryote. Its description in RNAcentral is "partial 18S ribosomal RNA". It matches the Rfam family "Eukaryotic small subunit ribosomal RNA", at positions 1470 to 1796 of the family's 1831-position model. The record is from RNAcentral.